GGUCUUGUAGUGUAGUGGUUAUCACUCGGGAUUUUGAUUAGUAAGCUUGAUGCUUACGUAAGCUUCCCGAAACCCAGGUUCGAACCCUGGCAAGACCU
Non-coding RNA from Schizophyllum commune H4-8, 98 nucleotides. The record is from Rfam. NCBI's taxonomy places the organism in Eukaryota, Fungi, Basidiomycota, Agaricomycetes, Agaricales, Schizophyllaceae.